GCUGGGCGUGGUGGCACAUGCCUGUAAUCCCAGCGGCUGGGGAGGCUGAAAUAGGAGGAUCACAAGUUCAAAGCCAGCCUCAGCAACAGUGGUGAGGCACUAAGCAACUUAGUGAGACCCUGUCUCUA
Molecule: small RNA, 128 nt
Filed under: Marmota monax (woodchuck)
Lineage: Eukaryota; Metazoa; Chordata; Mammalia; Rodentia; Sciuridae
Source: RNAcentral